This 407-nucleotide ribosomal RNA is filed under the name uncultured bacterium. RNAcentral describes it as "bacterial SSU rRNA". It matches the Rfam family "Bacterial small subunit ribosomal RNA", at positions 42 to 451 of the family's 1533-position model. The record is from RNAcentral.
GCAGGCCUAACACAUGCAAGUCGAGCGGAUGAGGGAAGCUUGCUUCCCAAUUUAGCGGCGGACGGGUGAGUAAUGCCUAGGAAUCUGCCUAUUAGUGGGGGAUAACGUUCCGAAAGGAACGCUAAUACCGCAUACGUCCCACGGGAGAAAGUGGGGGAUCUUCGGACCUCACGCUAAUAGAUGAGCCUAGGUCGGAUUAGCUAGUUGGUGGGGUAACGGCUCACCAAGGCGACGAUCCGUAGCUGGUCUGAGAGGAUGAUCAGCCACACUGGAACUGAGACACGGUCCAGACUCCUACGGGAGGCAGCAGUGGGGAAUAUUGGACAAUGGGCGAAAGCCUGAUCCAGCCAUGCCGCGUGUGUGAAGAAGGUCUUCGGAUUGUAAAGCACUUUAAGUUGGGAGGAAGG